RNAcentral lists this ribosomal RNA (253 nucleotides) under uncultured bacterium. RNAcentral's name for it is "partial 16S ribosomal RNA". It matches the Rfam family "Bacterial small subunit ribosomal RNA", at positions 524 to 776 of the family's 1533-position model. The record is from RNAcentral.
UACGUAGGGGGCUAGCGUUGUCCGGAUUUAUUGGGCGUAAAGAGCGCGUAGGCGGCCGUGUAAGUCCGACGUGAAAUCUGGAGGCUCAACCUCCAGCGGUCGUUGGAAACUACCCGGCUAGAGUCCGGAAGAGGAGAGUGGAAUUCCACGUGUAGCAGUGAAAUGCGUAGAUAUCGGGAGGAACACCAGUGGCGAAGGCGGCUACCUGGCCCACUCUUGACGCUGAGGCGCGAAAGCUAGGGGAGCGAACGGG